GGGCCGCACGCGCGCUACACUGACGGAGCCAGCGAGUACAACCUUGGCCGAGAGGUCUGGGUAAUCUUGUGAAACUCCGUCGUGCUGGGGAUAGAGCAUUGUAAUUAUUGCUCUUCAACGAGGAAUUCCUAGUAAGCGCAAGUCAUCAGCUUGCGUUGAUUACGUCCC
Molecule: ribosomal RNA, 168 nt
Filed under: Lachancea waltii
Lineage: Eukaryota; Fungi; Ascomycota; Saccharomycetes; Saccharomycetales; Saccharomycetaceae
Also listed under: 1 other name
Description: partial 18S ribosomal RNA
Rfam family: Eukaryotic small subunit ribosomal RNA
Source: RNAcentral